Molecule: transfer RNA, 72 nt
Filed under: Candidatus Servula neotermitis
Lineage: Bacteria; Bacillati; Actinomycetota; Actinomycetes; Bifidobacteriales; Bifidobacteriaceae
Description: tRNA-Thr
Rfam family: tRNA
About the family: Transfer RNA (tRNA) molecules are approximately 80 nucleotides in length. Their secondary structure includes four short double-helical elements and three loops (D, anti-codon, and T loops). Further hydrogen bonds mediate the characteristic L-shaped molecular structure. tRNAs have two regions of fundamental functional importance: the anti-codon, which is responsible for specific mRNA codon recognition, and the 3' end, to which the tRNAs corresponding amino acid is attached (by aminoacyl-tRNA synthetases). tRNAs cope with the degeneracy of the genetic code in two manners: having more than one tRNA (with a specific anti-codon) for a particular amino acid; and 'wobble' base-pairing, i.e. permitting non-standard base-pairing at the 3rd anti-codon position.
Source: RNAcentral
GCCUCGAUAGCUCAGCGGUAGAGCACUUCCAUGGUAAGGAAGGGGUCAAGAGUUCAAUCCUCUUUCGAGGCU